Parus major (Great Tit) is the source of this 1429-nucleotide long non-coding RNA. RefSeq lists it as uncharacterized. Lineage: Eukaryota; Metazoa; Chordata; Aves; Passeriformes; Paridae. The record is from RefSeq and is a predicted model, not a curated record. The transcript is spliced from 2 exons.
GUGGUCUCUGUGGCCGUGCCGGUGCUGCGGCUCGGGGUAAAGUCGGCCGCUGCUCGCAAAGGAGCCGGGAUCGGGCCGGGGCUCCUGUGCUGUGAGCCGGUUCCCCCCUCCCAUCGGGCCGGGCGCGACGUAAGCUCUUAGCCAGGUCGGACUGCCACGUACGAGACGGCGACUUUUCCCCCUCUGGACUCUCCGCAGCGUCAGGAGUGCUGGCUUUGUUGCCCCAUUCAACAGCCCGGCAAAGCCACAGUCCCCCAUUUCUGUGCCCCUCUGCAGCGUCUGCCGAGGGACAUCCCGAACGGACCCGGCCUGCAGAUGAAAUGUGCCUGUACACACAGAAUCGGUCUCUGCACCAGGACCCCAGCACAGCCACGGGAGGGAAAGCACGGCUGGCUGCACCUCCCCUGCGACUGAGCAGAGAUUUGAAAUAGCCGAAGCUGUCAGGCGGCAACAAAAGUCUCACUGUGUGCGCUAGAAAGCUUUCUGUGCUAAAUGCACACCGAAGCAGCCUACUUGUCAUGAUUCUUCUAAUGCAGGAUUAGCAUUAGUGUCAAAGCUUGUUAAUGCGAUACAGAAAUUAUGCAGUGAAUAUAUAUUUCCCAAGCUCAGUUUGGGUGUGUUGCGAUACUGAAAAGGUGGGCGGGAAGAGCGGCUGUCAGUUCUGCUGCUGCUGCUGAACACAAUCACUGCGGGGUCUGGGCUGGCCUACCUUCCUAGGAGAACUCUGGGGAGAGAGACACAACGUUGAAAGGGAUGAAAUAUUGGCGCUGCAAUUAUUAUUUCUAUGUAUCUAUUUCUGAUCCAUCUGUGGGGUAAUUACUCUGGGUUGUAUUUUGUUACUUCAGGCAGUAAGUUAAGUGUAUCACCUUUGGGAAAAAAACCAAACUAAAAAAACCUCUCCAAUAGGUGAGUCUGAGCAGGUUUAUUCUAGAGCACCAUCUUUCAUUAUUAUGAAUUCCACUGAAAUAAUUACAGUCAUCUUCUACCCAACCCUCAUCCCCCAAGCCCAAGAACUUUGUUGGUUUUUUUUAAAGCAAGUAUCUCUACCUCCACACAUCACUUUUCGGGUCAAAAAAAAAAAAAAUAAAUAAAAAUGAUAGGUUUCAGGUUAACAACAGCCAAACCUGAUGUUUAGAACAACAGCUGUUGUUCCAGUAGCUGCCAGAAGUACCCCCCAAUCUCUCCUGUCGUGUGGUUUGACUUGUUCUCCCUCUCAGGCAGUCUCACACUGCUGAGCUGCACAUGGCCCCUGUGCUGAGAAGCUCUGAGCAGGUACCUGAAGGUAAGUUCCAGAUAAACACCAGACUCACAUUACCCCAGUUUAUUGUCAUUUGCCUUGAAGGGCACUUAAACGUUUCAGUAAGUGUAAAAUUGCAACACUCUAACUGCUAACUCAUUAAGCAUCAGAAUAAACAGCUGCUUACUUUAA